Brachypodium distachyon (stiff brome) is the source of this 368-nucleotide non-coding RNA. Lineage: Eukaryota; Viridiplantae; Streptophyta; Magnoliopsida; Poales; Poaceae. The record is from RefSeq and is marked provisional.
ACUGUGGGACCCACCCGUCAGUGCCAACAUGCCAGCCUGGGCUUGCCUGCAUGUAGCGAGUCGAUGCCGAUCGCCUUGCCUAGAGCUUCGGCGGCGGCUCACGCGGGGCAGAGCGCGUGGCGGCUGGCCACGCGGGUGAGAGCGUCAGCGGCGUGCACGUGCCAAGGCGACGACAGCGCCUGUGCGAGGGCGGGAACGGCGGCUGGUCCCGAGGGCCAUGGCGACGAAGGCUUCAAAGCACGGUGGGCACGCGGGCGGGCUGGGCAAGCCAUCGGCAUACCGAAGCUGGGCAAGGCCAUUGGCAUCACCCCGAUCUACGCUGGCAAGCACAGACUGUCAUGUUGGCACUGAUGGGUGGGCCGCACCGG